AUGCGGUAUGACGGUACCCUUUCGAAUAAGAGGUUGCUAACUCUGUGCCAGCAGCAGCGGUAAUACAGAGACCUCGAGCGUUAUCCGGAUUUACUGGGCGUAAAGCGUCUGUAGGGGGUUUGUUAAGUUCCAAGUAAAAUCUUAAGGCUCAACUUUAAGUUCGCUUGGAAAACUAAUAAACUGGAGUCCAGCAGAGGUGCAUGGAACUUGCGGUGUAGGAGUGAAAUCCGUUGAUAUCGCAAGGAACACCAAAGGCGAAGGCAUUGCACUGGGCUGGUACUGACCCUGAGAGACGAAAGCGUGGGGAGCAAAACGGAUUAGAUACCCGUGUAGUCCACGCCGUAAACGAUGGAUACUAGAUGUUCGGGGAUUCGACCCCCUGGGUGUCACAGCUAACGCGUUAAGUAUCCCGCCUGGGAAGUACGGCCGCAAGGCUAAAACUCAAAGGAAUAGACGGGGAUCCGCACAAGCGGUGGAGCGUCUGGUUUAAUUUGAUAGUAAGCAAUGGACCUCACCAAGGUUUGACAUCCUAUGACAACCCUGGAAACAGGGCUUCCUUCGGGCAUAGUGACAGGUGCUGCAUGGUCGUCGUCAGUUCGUGCCGUGAGGUGUUCCGUUAAGUCGGCAAACGAACGAAACCCUCGUGGCAUGUUACAAAUUUCAUGCGAGACUGCCCGGGUCAACCGGGAGGAAGUCGGGGAUGAGGUCAGAUCAGCAUGGUCCUUAUACCUUG
Molecule: ribosomal RNA, 733 nt
Filed under: uncultured organism
Description: bacterial SSU rRNA
Rfam family: Bacterial small subunit ribosomal RNA
Source: RNAcentral